UACAGAGGGGGCAAGCGUUAUUCGGAAUUAUUGGGCGUAAAGGGCGCGUAGGCGGUUUUUUAAGUCGGAUGUGCAAUCCCUGGGCUCAACCUAGGAACUGCAUCCGAGACUGGAAGGCUAGAGUAUGGCAGAGGGGGGUAGAAUUCCACGUGUAGCAGUGAAAUGCGUAGAUAUGUGGAGGAAUACCGAUGGCGAAGGCAGCCCCCUGGGUCAAUACUGACGCUCACGCACGAAAGCGUGGGGAGCAAACAGG
This 253-nucleotide ribosomal RNA is filed under the name uncultured bacterium. RNAcentral describes it as "partial 16S ribosomal RNA". It matches the Rfam family "Bacterial small subunit ribosomal RNA", at positions 524 to 776 of the family's 1533-position model. The record is from RNAcentral.